RNAcentral lists this long non-coding RNA (583 nucleotides) under Homo sapiens (human). Its description in RNAcentral is "HSALNT0302497". The record is from RNAcentral. Lineage: Eukaryota; Metazoa; Chordata; Mammalia; Primates; Hominidae.
GAUGAAAAAUAAUACCAUGGAUUUGAUUAUCUUGUCAUGGAGAGAGAUGUGGUGUGGACACUAUCAGCUUUGGUUCCACUGAAGUUCUAUCAGAUUUCGCUUCAAAAAUUUUGGACCUUUGUUACUAGGUACAUAAACAUCUGAGGUGUUUAUUGGAGCUCUUUGCCUAGAACUGAUAAUUGGAUUCAUGGUAUUCUGGAGAACAAGGAAACAGGCUGAGGAAGAAUAAGAGACUUGCUUGAGGAAGAAAACUGAAGCCCAGAAAGCUUAAUAUAUUACCCAAAGAGUUAGUCCACAUUGAACUGGGAGUUAAUCCUUGUCUGUCUGGCUGGAAAGCUUUUGCUCUGUAUCUUGGAUGAAUAAACUAAACCUUAGGGAAUCUUCCUAGAAGAAACCAUAUAACGCCUCCUGUACGAGAAGUUAAAUUACAACACAAAGAUUGCUUGGUGAGCAUGUGAUCAAAACAGGGCAAGAUGAAGACCUUUAGAGGCCACAAGCAUUUUAGUGUGCCUCCCAACUUCCCUUAUAUUAUUCAAAAUAUAAACAAUAAAAUCUACAAAGAUGUGAAAGAAGUCCAACAAAA